This 460-nucleotide ribosomal RNA is filed under the name uncultured bacterium. Its description in RNAcentral is "partial 16S ribosomal RNA". It matches the Rfam family "Bacterial small subunit ribosomal RNA", at positions 338 to 795 of the family's 1533-position model. The record is from RNAcentral.
CCUACGGGAGGCUGCAGUGAGGAAUAUUGGUCAAUGGUCGCGAGCCUGAACCAGCCAAGUAGCGUGCAGGAUGACUGCCCUAUGGGUUGUAAACUUCUUUUAUGCAGGAAUAAAGUGCGUCACGUGUGCCUUUUUGUAGGUACUUCAUGAAUAAGGACCGGCUAAUUCCGUGCCAGCAGCCGCGGUAAUACGGAGGAUCCGGGCGUUAUCCGGAUUUAUUGGGUUUAAAGGGAGCGUAGAUGGCUUGUUAAGUCAGUCGUGAAAUGUUGUGGCUCAACCGUAAAAUUGCAGUUGAUACUGGCAGCCUUGAGUACAGUUGAGGUAGGCGGAAUUCGUGGUGUAGCGGUGAAAUGCUUAGAUAUCACGAAGAACUCCGAUUGCGAAGGCAGCCUACGAAACUGCCACUGACAUUGAUGCUCGAAGGUGUGGGUAUCAAACAGGAUUAGAUACCCGAGUAGUC